AAUUUUCCUAUUAAGUAAGGUGUCGUCCCAUUGGGGCGGAGAAUUGGGAAGCCGGUGUGAAUCCGGCACUGCCCCCGCAACGGUAACAUCGGGCAAGGGCGUAGCAAGAGCCACUGGGACGAGGACCCCGGGAAGGCGCUGCGGCCGGUCAUUUGACCCCGAUGAAAGUCCGGAAACCAGCCUUGCCUUGAUAGUCAAA
Molecule: non-coding RNA, 199 nt
Filed under: Roseobacter sp. SK209-2-6
Lineage: Bacteria; Pseudomonadati; Pseudomonadota; Alphaproteobacteria; Rhodobacterales; Roseobacteraceae
Also listed under: 1 other name
Source: RNAcentral